UCUGAGUUGGAUACCUGAUUAUUAAUGAAGAACAUGGUACCGUGAAAGGAUCGUGUGGUAGUGGGGAGGGAGAGAGAGAGAGAGGGAGAGAGAGAGGGCAAGAGAGCGAGAGAGCGAGAGAGAGAGAGAGAGAGAGAGAGAGAGAGAGAGAGAGAGAGCGAGAGCGAGAGAGCGAGAGAGCGAGAGAGAGCGAGAGAGCGAGAGAGCGAGAGAGAGAGACGGAGAGAGGAGUUCAGGUCUCUCUCUCCCACGAUCGUUGGAUCAUUCGAUCCUUCGGUCAUCGGUCUUUGGACCACGAAAACCG
RNAcentral lists this long non-coding RNA (304 nucleotides) under Spirodela polyrhiza (greater duckweed). Its description in RNAcentral is "long non-coding RNA (SPOL_LNC000119)". Lineage: Eukaryota; Viridiplantae; Streptophyta; Magnoliopsida; Alismatales; Araceae. The record is from RNAcentral.